This 1142-nucleotide ribosomal RNA is filed under the name uncultured bacterium. Its description in RNAcentral is "bacterial SSU rRNA". It matches the Rfam family "Bacterial small subunit ribosomal RNA", at positions 373 to 1533 of the family's 1533-position model. The record is from RNAcentral.
GCACGAAAGUGUGACGGGGCAAUGCCGCGUGUGGGAUGAAGCCCUUCGGGGUGUAAACUACUGUCAGGGACUACCAACAACAUGAGGAGUCCCAAAGGAAGAGCCGGCUAACUCUGUGCCAGCAGCCGCGGUAAUACAGAGGGCUCGAGCGUUAAUCGGAAUCACUGGGCUUAAAGCGUGCGUAGGCGGAUUUGAAGGCGCUUUGUGAAAUCCCUCGGCUCAACCGAGGAACUGCUUGGCGAACCACAAAUCUUGAGGCUGGUAGAGGUGGUCGGAACAAUAGGUGGAGCGGUGAAAUGCGUAGAUAUCUAUUGGAACACCGAAGGUGAAGACAGGCCACUGGGCCAGUCCUGACGCUGAGGCACGAAAGCGUGGGUAGCAAACGGGAUUAGAUACCCCGGUAGUCCACGCCGUAAACGAUGCGCACUUGGUCGAGGGGGUUGAACGCCUUCUCGGCCGUAGGAAAACUGAUUAGUGCGCCGCCUGGGGAGUACGGUCGCAAGAUUAAAACUCAAAGGAAUUGACGGGGGCUCACACAAGCGGUGGAGCAUGUGGCUUAAUUCGAAGCAACGCGAAGAACCUUAUCCUAGGCUUGACAUGCACGGAUUAACCUCCUGAAAGGGAGGCAACACUCGCAAGAGUGGAACGUGCACAGGUGCUGCAUGGCUGUCGUCAGCUCGUGCUGUGAAGUGUCGGGUUAAGUCCCUCAACGAGCGCAACCCCUGUCACUAGUUGCAAACAGGUAAUGCUGUGGACUCUAGUGAGACUGCCGGUGUCAAACCGGAGGAAGGUGGGGAUGACGUCAAGUCCUCAUGGCCCUUAUGCCUAGGGCUGCACACGUGCUACAAUGGCACCGACAGAACGAUCCGAGACCGCAAGGUGGAGGAAAUCGCUCAAAAGGUGCCCCAGUUCGGAUUGGAGGCUGCAACUCGCCUCCAUGAAGUUGGAAUCGCUAGUAAUCGCGGAUCAGCUACGCCGCGGUGAAUAUGUUCCUGAGCCUUGUACACACCGCCCGUCAAGUCAUGGAAGCCGGUAGCGCCCGAAGUCGCCUCAUUUCAGGGGUGCCCACGGCGAGGCUGGUGACUGGGACUAAGUCGUAACAAGGUAGCCGUAGGGGAACCUGCGGCUGGAUCACCUCCUUU